CAGGUGCUUUGGAAACAAGAGGUGAAAAUGAAAGUUGUGAGAGAUCUCUUUCCCUAUCAAUCACUAAAGAGCCUACUAUCAUCUUCUUUAAGAGAAAUCACUGAGAGCUGGGGAUGUCUGCGAGGCCCUGGGCUCCUAAUGAGUGGUUUCACAUAUAAGGGCAAUGGGUUCAGUUUUUGCCUUAUUGUUGGAGUCUCUGGCAACUGCACUUCCCUGUUAACCCUUGCUACGUUUCCAAGGUUUGAAGAACAAAAGUCACUCAAAAAUCAGYGCAGGGGAAAUCCAGCCUUUUGUUUUGGACUAUCUCCACCUUUCUGUGGCCUCUUUUGAUUACAUUUAUAUUCUACAGCAACCUCAUGGAUGUUGAUCUUUAAAGGUCUGUACUAAAACUACCAGCUUGAGCUGUUA
This 408-nucleotide long non-coding RNA is filed under the name Dromaius novaehollandiae (emu). RNAcentral describes it as "lncRNA (ENSDNVG00000006205.1)". The record is from RNAcentral. Lineage: Eukaryota; Metazoa; Chordata; Aves; Casuariiformes; Dromaiidae.